CCCAAAUUUUCUCCUUUCCCCCAAAUUUUAUUAAAAAAACCCUAACUUCCCCCAUAUUCCUAUUCGAAUAUGUUUAUUAGGGUUCACGAUUCUCCCGCAGACGGCGUCCAACGACCACGGAACGAUUUCAUCUCUGUGGGCAUGUUCGCUUCCUGGAGCUCAAAACCCUAACCACAACCCUUUCUUCUAUUUCUUCAUUCAAACCCCCAAAUAUCCAAACUUUCCUCCUCUUUUCUUCUACAUUUCUUCCAAUAUCGUUUUCUCAUCACCGUUUCUACUUCUACAUUGCCUUUGCCUUCUGUUUCUACCAUCCAAUUCCGCACAGAUUCACGAUCUUCUCUUCCGUCUGCUCGCAAGCCCUCAUUCAUUGCAAGUCGCCGCUGAAGAUUGGUUGCGUUCGUCCGCCAUUGAAGACUUGUUAGGUUCAUCGGCCGCUCAAGGAAAGUUGUGUUCGUCCGCCAUAGUUCAGAAAUUCGUCGCGCACUGUCUCUGCUUGUAAUAGGUUCGUUGGUUACGUUCGUCCUCCGCUGAAGAUUUGUUGCGUUCGUCUGCCGCUCAAGGAAAGUUGUGUUCGUCUAUCGUAGUUCAUAAAUUUGUCACGCACUGUUUCAACUUGCAACAAGUUUGUCCGCCGCCGUUCCCAGGUCUAUGAAAUGGCAAUGAUGUCAGCCAUACAGGAGGCACAGAAGGACAAUGUUAGAAGUUUUAAUGAUUACAUGAUGAAAGUUUUAGAGGAUAGCAUGACUCAAAUAUUUUGACAGGAUAAAUCUUCCUUGAUCUGGAUUUCAAGUAAAGGUGAAAGGAGUUUGAAGUUAGCUUCAAUCUCACGAAUUACACCUGGACAAAGAACGAUUUGCUUAUAAUUUGAUUUUCCUCUUUUCGACGGCUACCCACGACCUUCAGACGACGAUCCACUACAAUCCGACACGACCCACUGCUGUUCGACGACGCCCACGCAAACUCCGACUCAUGGUGCUUUAAUACUUGAGUUAGCAAGUUGGUUUAUGAAGAAAGUUUUUGUUUUCAUGCAUCUAAUACUUUAGUUAGCAAGUUGGUUUAUAAAGAUUGUACCUUAGACAUGUAUAUUUUGUUUAUAUUAAACAAGAAAAGGUUCAUCUUGUAGCUUAGACAUGUAUAUGGUUCGUUGAUAUACAUAUGCAAUUUCUUUGAUGGAAAA
Cucumis melo (muskmelon) is the source of this 1177-nucleotide long non-coding RNA. RefSeq lists it as uncharacterized. The transcript has 4 exons. The record is from RefSeq and is a predicted model, not a curated record. NCBI's taxonomy places the organism in Eukaryota, Viridiplantae, Streptophyta, Magnoliopsida, Cucurbitales, Cucurbitaceae.